GGACAGAUAGCUCAAUGACAGAGCACCAGGCAGACUGAUAAGUCCGUUUCCCUGGUCCGGUCACUUAUCCUCACGGGUCGAAGGACAUAGGGUUAUCGUUUAAAACCUGGGGGUUGCAGGUUGGAGUCCUGCUCUGUCCC
Molecule: transfer RNA, 140 nt
Filed under: Paenactinomyces guangxiensis
Lineage: Bacteria; Bacillati; Bacillota; Bacilli; Caryophanales; Thermoactinomycetaceae
Description: tRNA-OTHER
Rfam family: tRNA
About the family: Transfer RNA (tRNA) molecules are approximately 80 nucleotides in length.
Source: RNAcentral